This 152-nucleotide microRNA precursor is filed under the name Vicugna pacos (alpaca). Its description in RNAcentral is "miRNA (ENSVPAG00000017181.1)". The stretch from base 50 to 101 matches the Rfam family "mir-1302 microRNA precursor family". Lineage: Eukaryota; Metazoa; Chordata; Mammalia; Artiodactyla; Camelidae. The record is from RNAcentral.
AAUACAGGAUAAUCAGUUCAAUUUGAAUUUCAGAGAAACAAUAAAUGUUGUUUUAGUGUAAGUAUGUCCCAUGCAGUAUUUGGGACAUACUUAUACUAAAACAUUGUUCACUGUUUCUCUGAAAUUCAAACUGAACUGGGUGUCCUGUUUUU